GGAAAAGAAAUCAACCGAGAUUCCCCUAGUAGCGGCGAGCGAACGGGGAGCAGCCCAGAGUCUUAAUCAGCAUUAGCAUCAGGAGAACGGUCUGGAAAGUCCGGCAGUAAAGGGUGAUAGCCCCGUAUCCGAAGGUGUUAGUGUUGUGAACUCGACGAGUAGGGCGGGACACGUGUUAUCCUGUCUGAAUAUGGGGGGACCAUCCUCCAAGGCUAAAUACUCCUGAUUGACCGAUAGUGAACCAGUACCGUGAGGGAAAGGCGAAAAGAACCCCGGCGAGUGGAGUGAAAUAGAACCUGAAACCGUGUACGUACAAGCAGUGGGAGCCUUGAUUUAUCAGGGUGACUGCGUACCUUUUGUAUAAUGGGUCAGCGACUUAUAUUCUGUAGCAAGGUUAACCGUAUAGGGGAGCCGUAGGGAAACCGAGUCUUAACUGGGCGAAUAAGUUGCAGGGUAUAGACCCGAAACCCGGUGAUCUAGCCAUGGGCAGGUUGAAGGUUGGGUAACACUAACUGGAGGACCGAACCGACUAAUGUUGAAAAAUUAGCGGAUGACUUGUGGCUGGGGGUGAAAGGCCAAUCAAACCGGGAGAUAGCUGGUUCUCCCCGAAAGCUAUUUAGGUAGCGCC
This 628-nucleotide ribosomal RNA is filed under the name Providencia rettgeri. RNAcentral describes it as "partial 23S ribosomal RNA". It matches the Rfam family "Bacterial large subunit ribosomal RNA", at positions 215 to 881 of the family's 2925-position model. The record is from RNAcentral. Lineage: Bacteria; Pseudomonadati; Pseudomonadota; Gammaproteobacteria; Enterobacterales; Morganellaceae.